UACAGAGACUGCAAGCGUUAUUCGGAUUCACUGGGCGUAAAGGGUGCGCAGGCGGUUGGGUGUGUCAGAUGUGAAAUCCCGAGGCUUGACCUCGGAACUGCGUCUGAAACUACUCGACUAGAGUACUGGAGAGGGUAACGGAAUUCACGGUGUAGCAGUGAAAUGCGUAGAUAUCGUGAGGAACACCAGAGGCGAAGGCGGUUACCUGGACAGUUACUGACGCUCAGGCACGAAAGCAUGGGGAGCAAAAGGG
Molecule: ribosomal RNA, 253 nt
Filed under: uncultured bacterium
Lineage: Bacteria
Description: partial 16S ribosomal RNA
Rfam family: Bacterial small subunit ribosomal RNA
Source: RNAcentral